This 537-nucleotide ribosomal RNA is filed under the name uncultured bacterium. Its description in RNAcentral is "bacterial SSU rRNA". It matches the Rfam family "Bacterial small subunit ribosomal RNA", at positions 335 to 866 of the family's 1533-position model. The record is from RNAcentral.
CACCUACGGGAGGCUGCAGUGGGGAAUUUUGGACAAUGGGCGCAAGCCUGAUCCAGCAAUGCCGCGUGCAGGAUGAAGGCCUUCGGGUUGUAAACUGCUUUUGUACGGAACGAAAAGGUUCUCUCUAAUACAGGGGGCAUAUGACGGUACCGUAAGAAUAAGCACCGGCUAACUACGUGCCAGCAGCCGCGGUAAUACGUAGGGUGCGAGCGUUAAUCGGAAUUACUGGGCGUAAAGCGUGCGCAGGCGGUUUUGUAAGACAGAGGUGAAAUCCCCGGGCUCAACCUGGGAACUGCCUUUGUGACUGCAAGGCUGGAGUGCGGCAGAGGGGGAUGGAAUUCCGCGUGUAGCAGUGAAAUGCGUAGAUAUGCGGAGGAACACCGAUGGCGAAGGCAAUCCCCUGGGCCUGCACUGACGCUCAUGCACGAAAGCGUGGGGAGCAAACAGGAUUAGAUACCCUGGUAGUCCACGCCCUAAACGAUGUCAACUGGUUGUUGGGGGUUAAUUCACUCAGUAACGAAGCUAACGCGUGAAGUG